RNAcentral lists this RNase P RNA (394 nucleotides) under Acidobacteriota bacterium. RNAcentral describes it as "RNase P RNA component class A". It matches the Rfam family "Bacterial RNase P class A". From Rfam's summary of the family: Ribonuclease P (RNase P) is a ubiquitous endoribonuclease, found in archaea, bacteria and eukarya as well as chloroplasts and mitochondria. The record is from RNAcentral. Lineage: Bacteria; Pseudomonadati; Acidobacteriota.
CCUGCUAGAUGGGCAGUCGCUCGAUUUCGCGAAGUUCUGCGGAGUUGGGAGGAAAGUCCGGUCUCCAUAGGACAGCAUGCCGGCUAACGGCCGGGGGGAUCCGCUGAAGCGGAUUUUACGGAAAGUACCACAGAAAAUAUACCGCCGGCCGUCGCGCGUUCGCGUGUGAGCGGCAGGUAAGGGUGAAAUGGUGCGGUAAGAGCGCACCGCGGGCGGAGCAAUUCGUCCGGCAGGGUAAACCCCAUGCGGAGCAAGACCAAAUAGGGGAGAAGGGGCGGUCCGCUCCGUUUUGACUCCCGGGUAGGUCGCUAGAGCCAGCCAGUAAUGUCUGGCCCAGAUGAAUGACUGUCGCCUCGCAAGAGGUACAGAAACCGGCUUACAGUCGGCAGGCCUG